RNAcentral lists this ribosomal RNA (577 nucleotides) under uncultured bacterium. RNAcentral describes it as "partial 16S ribosomal RNA". It matches the Rfam family "Bacterial small subunit ribosomal RNA", at positions 355 to 921 of the family's 1533-position model. The record is from RNAcentral.
UAGGGAAUCUUCGGCAAUGGGGGCAACCCUGACCGAGCAACGCCGCGUGAGUGAAGAAGGUUUUCGGAUCGUAAAGCUCUGUUGUAAGUCAAGAACGGGUGUGAGAGUGGAAAGUUCACACUGUGACGGUAGCUUACCAGAAAGGGACGGCUAACUACGUGCCAGCAGCCGCGGUAAUACGUAGGUCCCGAGCGUUGUCCGGAUUUAUUGGGCGUAAAGCGAGCGCAGGCGGUUUGAUAAGUCUGAAGUUAAAGGCUGUGGCUCAACCAUAGUUCGCUUUGGAAACUGUCAAACUUGAGUGCAGAAGGGGAGAGUGGAAUUCCAUGUGUAGCGGUGAAAUGCGUAGAUAUAUGGAGGAACACCGGUGGCGAAAGCGGCUCUCUGGUCUGUAACUGACGCUGAGGCUCGAAAGCGUGGGGAGCGAACAGGAUUAGAUACCCUGGUAGUCCACGCCGUAAACGAUGAGUGCUAGGUGUUGGAUCCUUUCCGGGAUUCAGUGCCGAAGCUAACGCAUUAAGCACUCCGCCUGGGGAGUACGACCGCAAGGUUGAAACUCUAAAGUGAAUUGACGGGGUCA